CAAUAGCGUAUAUUAAAGUUGUUGCAGUUAAAAAGCUCGUAGUUGGAUUUCUGGUCGGAGCGACCGGUCGGCGUCCUUUGUGGCGUGUGCACUGUUGUCGGCUCCGUCCAUCCUAGUGGGGAAGGCGCGUUGGCAUUCAUUUGUCGGCGCGUGGCCCCGCUACGUUUACUAGUGAAAAAUUAGAGUGUUUAAAAGCAGGCGUUUCGCUGUGAAUACAUUAGCAUGGAAUAAUGAGAUAGGACUUUGGUACUAUUUUGUUGGUUUGCGCACCAAGGUAAUGAUUAAUAGGGGAUAGUUGGGGGUAUUCAUAUUCAAUUGUCAGAGGUGAAAUUCUUGGAUUUAUGGAAGACGAACUGCUGCGAAAGCGUUUGAACAAGGACGUUCUCAUUAAUCAAGAACGAAA
This 403-nucleotide ribosomal RNA is filed under the name uncultured eukaryote. RNAcentral's name for it is "bacterial SSU rRNA". It matches the Rfam family "Eukaryotic small subunit ribosomal RNA", at positions 592 to 988 of the family's 1831-position model. The record is from RNAcentral.